RNAcentral lists this long non-coding RNA (6391 nucleotides) under Strigops habroptila (Kakapo). RNAcentral's name for it is "lncRNA (ENSSHBG00005012483.1)". Lineage: Eukaryota; Metazoa; Chordata; Aves; Psittaciformes; Psittacidae. The record is from RNAcentral.
CUGGGCAUGUGCCUGGUACAGGCACAGAGCUAUUUGGAGAGGGGUGAUUUGGAGCAGCAGACCGAGAUGGACUGUGUAAAAGAGGAAUUGAAAAGAGAAAGACAGUGAACAUGUUUUUUGGAACAAAGAAUUGAAAUUAUGCUGGCACGAGUGAAAAAAAAACCCAACCCAGUGUUGUCCAAAUUCAGAAGUUGAUUGCAGGCACAGACCUUCGGGACUGGGGCAGUGAUCUCUGGGGAGAUUCUGACGAGAGCUGUUCUGAAGAGGUGGAGGAACUGGAGGAAAGGAAUGUGUGAUCUCCAGAAAGGCAGAGGGGCCCACGAGGCAGCAACCCCUAAACCAUGAUCCACACAGCUCUUGGUCGGGACCUCAGCUCAGGGAAUUGCAAAUGGAGCUUUCUAGCAAGCCUGGUGCAUCGGUCUGCCUGUCUCCACCUAACGCAGCAGAGCAAUCUGAAUAAGGGAACAAGGAAAACAGUGAAGACAGGAAAACUUUCUACUGAAGGAAGAAGUAGUUUUACCCUUUAAAAGGUUCCCUGACACACUUUUCUCUCCUUUGUGAUCAACUGAAAUACAUGUUCGUGGUCCCUUAUGGCAAAGGUUUGUAAUAACUAAACCUUAAGUUAAAACAAUAUGCCAUUGGUUCAAGAUUUUGAUCUAAUUCAGAAUGGCAGCAAUAUAAUUACUGUAUCAGAAUUACAUUGUUCAUGGAUUGCUGGGUAUUUUAAUUUUUGAGAAAUUAAAUUUUGAUAUCAAAUGGUUCAUUUAAAUAUAAUAAGAUUUAAUACUUAUUAGAUUAACUAGAACAAUAGGGAAUAAUAAUUAUUGUUUACACUGCUCCUGCACUCUUCUUGACCUCAUUUUCUAUCCUUCUCAUUAUGUGUCCCUGUGGAUUCUCUGGCAGGCUUCCUGUUCCUGUUGCUUAUGAAGAAAGAUUGAGAUUUAGUUUUGAUAUUCUUCACCAGACUUUUUUAAAUUCUUUUUUUUUUUUUUUGUCUGCCUUGAUAUGUUUACAUCCUCCUAUUUUCAUCAUUUAGACACAGCAGGGUUUUUCAUGGAUGUCUGUAUACAUUACACUUUAUAGAUGAAGAAAAACAGAUGGCAUUUCAAGUGUUUCAUGCCAUGUGAGGCUGACCUACUUUUUUUUUUUGUAGGCAGGGCUAAAAUAUGUUCGAGAAGGAUGAUGUUGGCAGCAUACCAGUUAAUUUACUAUCAGCCUAUCUGUAAAAAGAUCUUGCAGGGGCUGAACAGUGUGCUGUUUGCUCUUCUCAAUGUAGGUGUUACAAUGCUCAAUAUUACCUGAUCUUUAUUAUUACAGAAAAUGACCAAUAUCAGAAAAAUGUUCCAUCCAUUCAACAUGAAAUGAUCCAGCAUACUCUACCAACUGCACUAUGAGCUGCCUGUUUCUAGCAGAUAUUCUGAGAAAUACCAUUACUUGCAAACCUAAAAGUUGCAGAUGGGGAUAUGCCUUGGGAGAGAGGAAAGCUGUGUAGGCAAAUUCAUCAAAAGUAUCAAAACUCUGAGACAUGAUCCUAUUCAGAGAUACGUUAGCUUUUUAAAAGAAAAUGUUUUGUCAGAGUGGGUUUGAAUGUGUUGUGGGGAAGAAUUUCUCAGAUUACAAUAGAAUUUCCUUAGAAGAUCACAAGCUAGCAAAUAGCCUGGGACUAUUGAGGCUAUUUGCUUAAGUGAAAUGGAUGCUGGGGCACUGACCCCACGUCUACCUGUUUUAGAGAAAGAAACCAGACAAUAAAACAGGUGUUGUAGUGUGGGGUGGAUUGUUUGUACUUCAUCUCAGGUGAGGUCAUGACUGAGAAAGUACUUUCAGUCCUUAAGUGUUAUGCAAAUGUCAAGUGGAGCUAUAGAAGAGAAACAAGUUAUUAUGUAUUACUCAUGCUUCUGGAAAAUCCAGGGCUUCACUACUGAAAGAUGCUGUUUCCACUGAACUUCCUGCUGUUCCUCUGACAGAAAGGGAAACAGGCAUGACUUAGAUCAUGAACCCAAAUGAUUCUAUGAUUCUGCAUGGCAAAUGGACAUUCUUUGAUGUGUUUCUUUUCUAAUCUGUGACUACAUCUAGUGUCUAGAUUCUUCACAUACAGCUAUACUGGGCAUUUUGGGACAGCCUCGGGAAAUCUGAAGUGCUCUAUGCAAGCUAGCUGGGAUAUCGGAGGUAGGCUAGUCACAUCGUAGAAUUCUCUGUUGUGAAUCCAGUGUACAUGCAAAACAGAACUUAACUGCUCCCAGAAAGUGAGAGAGAUUAAGGGUUAGUUCAGAAAUUUUACAUUGCCAUGCCGUGUAUGUGUGCCCAGUGUAAAAGAGAAGAGGAGGACAGGUGCAUUUGAUGGGAUAAAAUGGAUUGGCAACUUCAGCUUUGUUUGAUGAAAGAAAAAUAACUUACGUAAAACACGUUUCCAAUACAACUGCACCCAUCAUGACUCUGACUCAUCUAGAGAAAGAAUGGAGGAAAAAAAAUUGUAUGCAUAUAUAAAAUUUCUUCAUAGGAGAGUGUGAAUGCAGUAACAUUCUGAAGUCUGGACUGAAUUAGUUGAAGACAUCUUGAUUCUCUGCUGUUCAUGCAUGCAACAUGACUAUUUUGAAAACCAAGUAUGUAUGUGAUACUUAAGUCUGUAUUUGCAUUGCUUUGUUCUUGACGUGCAUUUGGCACUGUUCCUCAUUUCAUCAAUUUUCUAGCCGAACUAUGAUCUCCAAUUACAUCUUUCAUCCUGCCAGUACAAAGCAGAGCUUGUCUAAAGUCAACAGAUUAGUUUACAUGACACCCAGUAUCAAUGUACCUUCCGUGUGUCUGUCUUCUAACAGCAGGUUAGUGUGACAUUCAUUACCUCCCCCAUGUUAAAUCCUGAUCUUUGUGCUUCCAGAUGAUUAAUCCCCUCCUGCUCCUAGCUUCUUUAUCAGACAACCCCAUACUUCUUCUUUCUCCUUUCUUCCAAAAGCAACUAGAAUAAUUUUUCCAUUGCACUGUGGUCUUCUUUAGAAGUAACCCUGACCUGGUGGUGAUGUGCAUAAGGAUCCAAGCUUACUUUUUUACCACAACAUUGCUAGAAUACAAAAAAGUCCUCUGGGAUCAGUAAUUUCACUAAAGUAAUGAAUCCAAUUUGCUUGCUUCCAGAGAAAUGUGUGCACUUCAAUUAAUACGAACAGAAUGUCUUGCAACAUUUCAGUUUUCAAAUGCUUUAUAUUUUAUUUUUCCAUGUUUAUGUAUCAACAAGAAAGCCCUCUUGCAUUCAUGCUUAAAGGCAUGCUGCCUUUAAAUAAAGAAUGAGCUUCUGGACGAGUUUCAUAGAAUCAUAGAACCAUAAAAUGGUUUGGGUUGGAAAAGGACCUUAAGAUCAUCCAGUUCCAACCCGGAUGCCUAACAUUAGACCAUGUCACCAAAGGCUCUGUCCAACCUGGCCUUGAACACUGCCAGGGAUGAGGCAUUUACCACUUCUUUGGCAGCCUAUUCCAGUGCCUCACCACCCUCACAGUAAAGAACUUCUUCCUUAUAUCUAACCUGAACUUCACAUCUUUAAGUUUGGAUCCAUCGUCACCCCUUGUCCUAUCGCUACAGUCCCCAAUGAAGAGUCCCUCUCCAGCAUCCUCGUAGGCCCCCUUCAGAUAGUGUGAGGCUGCUAUGAGGUCUCUAUACAGCUUCUCUUCUCCAGGCUGAACAGCCCCAACUUGUUUUAAAGACUGCACCAGAGCAUUGCAAUUGAAUGCUAUUUCCUUCUCCCUCCUUAAUUCUUUUUUGCCUGUUCUUUAGUACCUGUUUAAAGCAAGACAUGGGGCUUUUCAAAGCUGCAAAUACAAACAUGACACAUUCUUAGCUGUCUUCAGCCCUCAUUACAAUUAAUGAAGCAGCUUUCUUCACAAUGGGACUGCCCUGUUUGCACACCACCUGCCUGCCAUGAGGAGUUGUCACUUGAGUGUCAGGACAUUCUGUGAAGUUUUGUGCAAUAGUACAAAGUAACUCACUAACUCAGUGAGAAUAGACAGACUCGGUGGGAAUAGCGGGAAAACUGUCCUAGAUGUUCCAGCCGCACCCAGGGCAGUUUUCUGUAUGUCCUAACUUGGUCAGCAGAAAGCUUCCGGGAAAGAUGGGUAGGUAAGGUGGUUAGGCAUGGGUAGUUUAGGUCAUCACCUAUGCUGACGGAAAGAAUAAUCACUGUACGGCUGAAUCAUCAGCAAGAACGUAUUAGAUCGUGGGAAGUGAAAUUGAUAGACUCUGGCUUUCAACAGUCCCACAUCCAUUUGUACCACAUCACUAUAAUAGUCCUCAUUUCCUUCUCAUGCCCCUUACCACUGAAAUAACUUCAGGCCCACUCUCUGCAUUGCCUAACACCUUUUUCAGUGCUCCUAGCUCUCUUUCAUGUCCCUAAAUAUUCCUACAGUAUAUUCAGCUUCCUCUUUCCACUCAUUACCUGUUUGUCUCAGGAAGAGGAAGAGAAACGGAAAUUGCCUGUUACUUCCCCUAGGUUACCUACCUAGGGAUUGGCUACCUUAUUUUGGAGGGUUUUUGUGUUUUGGUUUUUUUUUUUUUAAUCUUUCUUUUCUUUUCCUAUGUAAGCAUGAGUGCAGCCCCCCACUACUAUAGAUUCUUUAGUUUCCUGUGUUCAGGCUGUAUUACCAAGACUGUAGCCAACAUGUCAAGGAAUCCAUUUCUGAUCUGUUCAGCAGUUGUGAGACUACAGAUGAAAUUUUGUGUCCAGAUUUGAUUCUCCAUCCUUGAAGAUAUUCAAAACAUGACUGGACAAGCUUUCAUGCUAGCCCUGCUUAAAAGGAGAGAUUGGACCACAUAAUGCCAGGAGGUCCCUUUCUAUCUGAGUUAUUUUAUGAUUCUAUAUCUUCAUGAUUCUGAAACUUCUUCUCAGUCAGAUUUACUAAAUACUCACAAACAGGGUUGCAAGUUGCUUGAUGGGGGAAGCUAGGAUGGAGGGAAAAAGCAGACUGACAGACAGAUGAGUGAACAAAUGAAGUAAUGCUAUCAGAUUCCUUCCCCUAGAGAUAUGCUCAUCCUGACCACUGGCAAAAAUGUUAGUCAACUAGCCAACACCAUUCCUUGCUGAAUGUUACUAUGUGGAGUAAGAAAUUUGGAUUAUGAUUAGGAAUUUCCUUCUGUGCCAUACUGAAUGCAGCUAUAGUCUGAUGUUGUAUGAUAACUGUCCAGGCCCCUAUGCAGGCAUACAUUAGCACUGUGUUAUGAUUCCUUCUGUUUUGUGAGAUGUAUCUACAGGAGAUCUUCACAGAACAAGGAAAUACUUAAGCAGUGGCAAACACUAACAGGUUGAAACAUUAAGGAACAGCCAGUGACAAUGAUGAUAAUCAGAGAGGUAGGCUUCAAUAAAGCAUUCAGAUGGGCAGGAACCGGUUUGGCUUGCAAUACCUCACAAAGCUAUGUGAAAUACGAGAGCUUUCCUAAGCUAUUGUUUCAGGGUUCAAGGGGUGUGAGAACAGACAGCAGAGGAAGAUGAAUCUAUGCAAAUUUUAUGUAGAUAUCUUUUGUUAGAAUAUGACUGAAACCAUGGAGGAGGAGCACCAUCUCAGGCCAGUUUAAAAGCCAGAAGACGGGCUGUCCACUUGAGAUCCAUCUCUCUUUCUUCUUCACGGACAGAGAUGUGGUCAAGGCUUCUUCUGAGUAUUCUGUCCUUGAACUGGAUUGCCACGGUGUCUUCUGAACCGUAAGAGAUCAUACAUUCUGUGUUUUUAUGAUAAUAUAUUUUAUUAUAUUUCUCUCUAGUUUAUUUCUCCUAGGACACUGCUAUAUAAUGAACUGGAUGUUUGAGACCUCAGUUCUAAAAUGUGUCUGAAGUGGAAGUAGAUGGCAUUGAAGAAUGAUUUAGAAUGAUGCUCUCCAUCAUAAAACUGCUAUUAAAUCUGAUUUGAAUGAAAGAAACCUAGAACUGGAGUAGAUGAAGUCUUAAGUUCAUGGAUAAAGCGGAGAGGAGGUUCGAUACUAGACUAGCAAGUGAUACUAAUGAUCAGGAUUGAUAUGCAUCAGCAGUACAGAGAGAGCAUGUUGUAUGAGGAGGUGCUACAGGCCAGAUAAUGGCUGGUAUUAGGGACUAUGCUGACUGACAAUGCUAAUAUUAGUAUUAAUGUAAGAAUGAGUAUGAAGUAUUAGUAUUACACCUGCUGUGCUCUGUCAAUGUCCAUGGCUUUAUACAAACAGUUUUCAGCCACAAUAUUCAAAAAUACAUCAACAUUAAAGCUUAAAUCCUCUUUUCAAAAGUUUUAAAGGAAAAUACUGAAAGUCAGAGGGGUUUAGCUUUCCCAGAUCACUGUUCAUUUCAAUCAUUUUACUUUUGGUCUUUGAAUAUCAUGCAGUCUGAACUGGGCAAGUGAAAAUAACAAUAAAGGCAAUAUAAGCAAGAAAAGCUGUGGGAGAAAAAAAAAAAAAA